CCUACGGGAGGCUGCAGUGGGGAAUAUUGGACAAUGGGGGCAACCCUGAUCCAGCCAUGCCGCGUGUGUGAAGAAGGCCCUCGGGUUGUAAAGCACUUUCAGUGAGGAAGAACGCCUGGUGGUUAAUACCCAUCAGGAAAGACAUCACUUACAGAAGAAGCACCGGCUAACUCCGUGCCAGCAGCCGCGGUAAUACGGAGGGUGCGAGCGUUAAUCGGAAUUACUGGGCGUAAAGCGCGCGUAGGUGGCUUGAUAAGCCGGUUGUGAAAGCCCCGGGCUCAACCUGGGAACGGCAUCCGGAACUGUCAAGCUAGAGUGCAGGAGAGGAAGGUAGAAUUCCCGGUGUAGCGGUGAAAUGCGUAGAGAUCGGGAGGAAUACCAGUGGCGAAGGCGGCCUUCUGGACUGACACUGACACUGAGGUGCGAAAGCGUGGGUAGCAAACAGGAUUAGAUACCCUAGUAGUC
This 465-nucleotide ribosomal RNA is filed under the name Vreelandella stevensii. RNAcentral describes it as "partial 16S ribosomal RNA". It matches the Rfam family "Bacterial small subunit ribosomal RNA", at positions 338 to 795 of the family's 1533-position model. Lineage: Bacteria; Pseudomonadati; Pseudomonadota; Gammaproteobacteria; Oceanospirillales; Halomonadaceae. The record is from RNAcentral.